This 2012-nucleotide long non-coding RNA is filed under the name Triticum aestivum (bread wheat). RNAcentral's name for it is "long non-coding RNA (TAES_LNC022309)". The record is from RNAcentral. Lineage: Eukaryota; Viridiplantae; Streptophyta; Magnoliopsida; Poales; Poaceae.
CAGAAAUUCAAGUAUGCGAUUCUGCUAGCCAAUUUAUCGAUUUGCUUCUUCCAUUAAACAUUUGACCAGCAAAUGAAUCACUCAAAUCAGCAUCCUAAUUCACUGUUGGCUGAUCAAAACAAAUUCCUUCACUUGUAUUUGGCAGUCCUAGGAACAUAAAGAAAAAAGAUCACAAUACUGAUUUAACACUGGAAACUGUAUGUCUCUAUUCAACAUAGGAGACUAUUAAGAUAGUACCCUGAAAACUGUUAAAGCUCAUAUAUAGGAAAUAAGUAAUUUUCUCAUAGCCCAAAACUGAAAAAUAUUGAAAAAUAGGUUGCAAUCAUGCACCUUAAUACAUCCAAGCAAUAGUAAUAAAAAUUCAGUUUCAUUCUGGCUUUUCAUGGAUAUACGGUUUUCAUCAGAAACUAUAUAAGGACCAUCGAAUCAUGGAAUUUCAUCCAAGCUUAAAAUCCUACAAAGAGAAAACUUGCUCGAAGCAAAUUUGAACCCCAGCCCAACUCAUGGUUGACUUGCAGUCAAAGAAAUUUGAAUGUCGAACCAUUGAAAGUAAGCACUUGAAUGUCGAGCCUCAACAAUCAAACAAGGUCUGUCUACUUGGUCUGGUGUUGGGACUACUCAGCAAUUCACAUAUAAAAUACAAAUUACUGGAGAGUACCCUCUACAGCUGAGUUAGGUAUUGUUUGUACGUCAUAAAGAGGACCUACUAAGACAACUUUUAGCUAUACAAGGCACUCUAAUAUGACCUACUGAGACAUAUUUGUUGGCUAAACCUUUUCAAGACGAAAUGCAACAGAGUAAUAGAGACCUCAGCUUAAUUUUCUGUGUUUUUGCCAAGAAGAAAGUUCCCUUCCUUUCAGUAUAGCAACUACAACUUCCAUGCCAAACAAUUUCAAACAAAGAUGAUGCAGUUUGCAAUACUCUUUAGCUUAUGGUUAUUAACUUGAUCCAGAAUUAAACCAUACACCAUGUUAUGAAAAACCUACACCUACAGGAUCAAAAACAGUAGCAUAAUAUUCAUCACAACUAUUGGCCAAUGAUUUCCCAACUAUGGCCUCACCACAAAAAUCAUAGAGAAUAUUAAUCAGGGGCUCAGGGCAUAACCAGGAACAUCAUAAUAAACCAUGGCAUACACAAAAUAGGGAGCCUAAACCCUACCAUGUUAUCCACAAACAAACCAAGUCAUGAACCAAAGAUCACAGCCCAGCACAAUAGUAGCAAGAUAGAAAGCUCACAGGUAGGUCCAAUUGUUGUCCAUCACUAAAAAACUGACGCCAGCUCAAUGGCUAGAGCACAACACGACAUCACUUCAAAAGCACCACAAGGGAACAAACAUCCACAUAGGCUCGGCCAGCACACAGAGUAGGAAUAGCUCAAACCCUAUGCCUCACAAGGUACAGAGGGGAAACAAAGGACAUACCUUGUCGCGGAAAGGAGCAGGAGAGAUCAUCCAGCAUCAGGGGUUGGUGGUCGGCCAGCCUCCAGCUCCUCAACUUCUGCGCGGCCAUGGCAUUGAAGGCCAACUUGAGCUCCAACAGUUCCCCUAUAACCAGCCAAGCAUUACAAUGGUGUACCAGCCUGAGAAAGCUCCAACAGUUCUUCAAUACUCAAUUUUUUUGAAGCAAUAAAAAAAUGUUGCAUCAAGUUGUUCCUACAUGAUCAUUUCACUAGGGUGUGACAGCAAUAGCAGCAAGUUGUUCUGUCAAGCAUGUGAGUGGAUUCAGACCAGCAGCAAGCCAAGCAAUUUGUUUUAGAUUUUAAACAGGCAGAGUAUUUGUAGAGUUGAAUCACAUGAGAAAAAUAGUGACCACCAUAGGCUUCCUAAGCAUGCUGGCUAAUCUGGACGGCCAUGAGUAAGAGCAGUAGCAAGCAAGCAAACAGGGAAGCAAGUAAGCACAUGAGGUAACCCAACCCAGCCUAGGAUUUCAAAACAAGAGAGGAGUGGAGGGAAAAUCGACCUUGAGCUACUGCUGCUCCUCUCCAUGGACGGGCACAUAGCAUGAGUGGACUUG